This 329-nucleotide ribosomal RNA is filed under the name uncultured eukaryote. RNAcentral's name for it is "partial 18S ribosomal RNA". It matches the Rfam family "Eukaryotic small subunit ribosomal RNA", at positions 1470 to 1796 of the family's 1831-position model. The record is from RNAcentral.
CCCUUAGAUGUUCGGAGCUGCACGCGCGCUACACUGAAGGAAGCAGCGUGUUAGAGCACCUGGCUUGAAAGAGCUGGGUAAUCCGGUGAAUGUCCUUCGUGAUUGGGAUAGGGACUUGUAAUUAUUUCCCUUGAACGAGGAAUUCCUAGUAAGCGCAAGUCAACAGCUUGCGUUGAUUACGUCCCUGCCCUUUGUACACACCGCCCGUCGCUACUACUGAUUGGAUGUUUAAGCGAGGUUCUCGAACUGCUAGCGACUUAGCUUCGGUGAGGUCGCAGUGUGGGAAGUGAACCUAGCUUUGGUGUCUAGAGGAAGUAAAAGUCGUAACA